CCAAAGCUUCAACAAGUAAAAGCUGUGAAAGAUGCUUAAAUGUUGAUAUAAAUGCUUGUGUUACUAACCUUGUUGAGCUAGCAAAGAAGGACAAGGAGAUCCAAAGAUUAAACACAAUUGUCAAGAUUGGUUGCAAGUGCAAGGACAAGCAACCGACAAAUGUGUUCAAGGCAUCAAGGCACCCCAUAAUCAAGGAUGGCCUCGGUUACAAUAGGU
This 216-nucleotide long non-coding RNA is filed under the name Sorghum bicolor (sorghum). RNAcentral describes it as "long non-coding RNA (SBIC_LNC016369)". The record is from RNAcentral. Lineage: Eukaryota; Viridiplantae; Streptophyta; Magnoliopsida; Poales; Poaceae.